This 1639-nucleotide long non-coding RNA is filed under the name Pelobates cultripes (western spadefoot toad). The record is from RNAcentral. Lineage: Eukaryota; Metazoa; Chordata; Amphibia; Anura; Pelobatidae.
AACUCACCAAGUUCAUGGGGCAAUUCGUGGCAGAGAACAGCAAGUGAUGUCGCCAAUCCGGUUUUCCAUGAGGUUGAAAAUGCGGCUCCGAUCGCCAUACCAUCUGCAAAGUUGUGAAUUGCGUCUCCAAUAGUGAUCAUGUAGGGAAUCAUUCGCUGCUCUGUGACGAUACAGAAUAUAUAUUGUAUUCCAUAAUCUUUGAUUUAUUGUCUAAAAUUUUAAUACAUUUACAAAUUAUAAAUCAUACAAAAACAAGCAAUCAUUGGCAAUGAUGCCAAACGGCCAUUCUCUCCACAUUCAGUCCUCUAUUAUAGGAAUUCCAUAUAUUGUUCUAUGUUUUGUUCUGUUGUUGGAAAGUUCAUAUAUUACGGUUUUACUUCACAUACGUACAUUAUUACUAAAGUCGCCCUGUAAAGCUCAGUCAUCUUCCACUUACAAAGACAGUCUGUGGACUUUAUAGGAAAGCAUGUUUAUCUUGGGCCAGCAUUAGGAAGCCCAGAUCAGCCCUCAUAUAGUCUAGGAUUGUUACGUCAUUAGAUCAAUUUUCGGUGAGGCUCGUUCUCAAUCCCCCAAGUCAGAGAGGGAACAUCAUAUCUUCUCUGGUAAAAUAUUUGGAGUCUCACCUAUCACAUGAAAUCUUUCCUGAAUCUCAACAUUCUAGUGCCUUUUAGGACCGCAUGUCAGCUAGCAAGGACUCGUAUGUCACCAGUUCUAGAUUACUGCUUUGCAGCUUGCCGGUACCUGGGAGAGUCACAGCUUUACAUAGUUUGCACAUUUUAAUCUGUUAUCCUCUGUAACUUAUUUAGAUAUUAAUUCAGUUUCUUUAUAUAGUUUUUCACACAACCCUCUCAAUUCUGAUCAUACACUGGGGUUAAUAAGAUUUUGUAACAGAGCUCCCUGUACCCCAGCUGGGUACCUCUGCCAAGGACCACUUCCUAGCUGUAACAGGGGACAAAACGCAGCACUUCUGGCCACAAUCACUGUGGCUUGACUGGGGUCUUGGAACGGCUCUCUCCUGGAGCCGAAUGGGGAAUUCGCUCUAGACACCCCCAGGCACUGGACAACACCCCGUGGGAGCUCUAGUCCUUGCAAGGACUUUCUCUGUUGAAUCCUCCACACUGAAACAUUGAUUAGCCCUUUCCCCUCCCAGUAACCAGCUGACACAUAGUUCUGGGAGUACAGGCUGGAAUACCUUUAUUGGCAGCCACAAUUGGCUUUAUAUGCAGGUCUUCAAGCAAGGGGCACUCACCCCUUGACCUGAGAGUAGCCUACAAUAAAAACAUACACACAAUUACAUUGGCUCUCAAGUGCAGGACACUUCAAUACAAAACAAGAUAAUCCCUCCCCUGGGUUUUGGUCCUUGUGAACGGCCGCCUGGGAGCUAGCGAUUGGUUCUAUGCACGGUAAUGGAAAGUGCCGAACCAGUGGAACCAGGGGGAAUAAAAUAUGGAUCUUUACAGUCGCUGACCUGGCCCAUAGUCGGUGGGCAGCAGGCCCUCCAGGAGUCCAUGGCAAACAUCUGUGGAAAGCGGCAUUUGUCACAGAUAUCACUGAUAAGGUGACUUAGGUUCAAUGGGACGUAACCCUUUAUCAUAUUAUUGUAGAAAAACAAUAAGUACCUUCAACUACAGAGUCCAAG